RNAcentral lists this ribosomal RNA (459 nucleotides) under uncultured bacterium. RNAcentral's name for it is "partial 16S ribosomal RNA". It matches the Rfam family "Bacterial small subunit ribosomal RNA", at positions 338 to 795 of the family's 1533-position model. The record is from RNAcentral.
CCUACGGGUGGCAGCAGUGAGGAAUAUUGGUCAAUGGCCGAGAGGCUGAACCAGCCAAGUCGCGUGAGGGAAGAAUGUCCUAUGGAUUGUAAACCUCUUUUGUCAGGGAGCAAAGUCACCCACGUGUGGGUGUUGGAGAGUACCUGAAGAAAAAGCAUCGGCUAACUCCGUGCCAGCAGCCGCGGUAAUACGGAGGAUGCGAGCGUUAUCCGGAUUUAUUGGGUUUAAAGGGUGCGUAGGCGGGUUAUCAAGUCAGCGGUAAAAUCGUGGAGCUCAACUCCAUCCAGCCGUUGAAACUGAUGAUCUUGAGUGGGCGAGAAGUAUGCGGAAUGCGUGGUGUAGCGGUGAUAUGCAUAGAUAUCACGAAGAACCCCGAUUGCGAAGGCAGCCUGCCGCAGCGUUACUGACGCUGAAGCUCGAAAGCGCGGGUAUCGAACAGGAGUAGAUACCCCUGUAGGC